Molecule: ribosomal RNA, 600 nt
Filed under: uncultured bacterium
Lineage: Bacteria
Description: bacterial SSU rRNA
Rfam family: Bacterial small subunit ribosomal RNA
Source: RNAcentral
AGCGGCGUACGGGUGCGGAACACGUGUGCACUGCUUUAUCUGGGGGAUAGCCUUUCGAAAGGAAGAUUAAUACCCCAUAAUAUGUUGAAUGGGAUCAUUCGCACAUUGAAAACUCCGGUGGACAGAGAUGGGCACGCGCAAGAUUAGAUAGUUGGUGAGGUAACGGUCACCAAGUCUACGAUCUUUAGGGGGCCUGAGAGGGUGAUCCCCCACACUGGUACUGAGACACGGACCAGACUCCUACGGGAGGCAGCAGUGAGGAAUAUUGGACAAUGGGUGAGAGCCUGAUCCAGCCAUCCCGCGUGAAGGACGACUGCCUAUGGGUUGUAAACUUCUUGUAUAGGGAUAAAACUAACCUCGUUGAAGGGGUAAGCUGAAGGGUACCUUAUACGGAAUUAAGGCACCGGGUUAAAUUCCGGUGGCCAAGCAGCCCGGGGGUAAAUAACCGGGAGGUUGGCCAAAGGUUAAUCCCGGGAAUUACGGGGGUUAAACGGGUCCGGAAGGGGAUCUGUAAGGUUCAGGGGGUGGAAAUUUCACAGUUAACUGUGUAAACUUGGGCCUUGGAUNAAUCUGGGGGGGUCCUGAAUNNGUGGUGGAAAG